CUGGCUGCUGGGGAUCCAGAUGUGGCUCAUGUACAGGCUCUCAUACUCCCUGGCCAAGGAGAAGAAGGCAGAGUCAUACCCUUUGAGGCAGACUAGAAGAUGGUUGUAAUUGCUGUCAUUAUGCUUUCACGGGUAGGGCACCACCUCCUACCGAGGCCACCACCUAAGAAAAGGAGCUCCAAACUCAACUCGUUGGCAUCUGCCUUAACAGCUUCCUAUGGGGACGCUAAAACUCGGCCUUUGGCUCCAAGCUCUGCUGCCCAAUAGAACUCUUUGUGAUGACUGAAA
This is a long non-coding RNA of Mastomys coucha (southern multimammate mouse), 288 nucleotides long. RefSeq lists it as uncharacterized. The transcript has 2 exons. The record is from RefSeq and is a predicted model, not a curated record. NCBI's taxonomy places the organism in Eukaryota, Metazoa, Chordata, Mammalia, Rodentia, Muridae.